AGAGUUUGAUCAUGGCUCAGAGCGAACGCUGGCGGCAUGCUUAACACAUGCAAGUCUCACGGGCAGCAAUGUCAGUGGCGGACGGGUGAGUAACGCGUAGGUAUCUAUCUCUGGGUGGGGGAUAACUGUGGGAAACUACAGCUAAUACCGCAUGAUGACUGAGGUCCAAAGGCGCAAGUCGCCUGGAGAGGAGCCUGCGUACGAUUAGCUUGUUGGUGGGGUAAAGGCCUACCAAGGCGACGAUCGUUAGCUGGUCUGAGAGGAUGAUCAGCCACAUUGGGACUGAGACACGGCCCAAACUCCUACGGGAGGCAGCAGUGGGGAAUAUUGGACAAUGGGCGAAAGCCUGAUCCAGCAAUGCCGCGUGUGUGAAGAAGGUCUUCGGAUUGUAAAGCACUUUCGACGGGGACGAUGAUGACGGUACCCAUAGAAGAAGCCCCGGCUAACUUCGUGCCAGCAGCCGCGGUAAUACGAAGGGGGCUAGCGUUGCUCGGAAUGACUGGGCGUAAAGGGCGCGUAGGCGGAUGGCACAGUCAGAUGUGAAAUUCCCGGGCUUAACCUGGGGGCUGCAUUUGAUACGUGUGAUCUAGAGUGAGGAAGAGGGUCGUGGAAUUCCCAGUGUAGAGGUGAAAUUCGUAGAUAUUGGGAAGAACACCGGUGGCGAAGGCGGCGACCUGGUCCUUUACUGACGCUGAGGCGCGAAAGCGUGGGGAGCAAACAGGAUUAGAUACCCUGGUAGUCCACGCUGUAAACGAUGUGUGCUGGAUGUUGGGCGACCUAGUCGCUCAGUGUCGUAGCUAACGCGAUAAGCACACCCGCCUGGGGAGUACGGCCGCAAGGUUGAAACUCAAAGGAAUUGACGGGGGCCCGCACAAGCGGUGGAGCAUGUGGUUUAAUUCGAAGCAACGCGCAGAACCUUACCAGGGCUUGACAUGGGGUGGCCGCGUCCAGAGAUGGGCGUUCCCGCAAGGGCCACCUGCACAGGUGCUGCAUGGCUGUCGUCAGCUCGUGUCGUGAGAUGUUGGGUUAAGUCCCGCAACGAGCGCAACCCUUGUCAUUAGUUGCUACAUUUAGUUGGGCACUCUAAUGAGACUGCCGGUGACAAGCCAGAGGAAGGUGGGGAUGACGUCAAGUCCUCAUGGCCCUUAUAGGUGGGGCUACACACGUCAUACAAUGGCUGGUACAAAGGGUUGCCAACCCGCGAGGGGGAGCUAAUCCCAUAAAGCCAGUCGUAGUCCGGAUCGUAGUCUGCAACUCGACUACGUGAAGUCGGAAUCGCUAGUAAUCGUGGAUCAGAAUGUCACGGUGAAUACGUUCCCGGGUCUUGUACACACCGCCCGUCACACCAUGGGAGCGGGUUCUGCCAGAAGUAGUUAGCCUAACCUGCAAAGGAGGGCGAUUACCACGGCAGGGUUCGUGACUGGGGUGAAGUCGUAACAAGGUAGCCGU
This 1449-nucleotide ribosomal RNA is filed under the name uncultured bacterium. Its description in RNAcentral is "bacterial SSU rRNA". It matches the Rfam family "Bacterial small subunit ribosomal RNA". The record is from RNAcentral.